GACGAACGCUGGCGGCGUGCUUAACACAUGCAAGUCGAACGGAAAGGCCCUGCUUUUGUGGGGUGCUCGAGUGGCGAACGGGUGAGUAACACGUGAGUAACCUGCCCUUGACUUUGGGAUAACUUCAGGAAACUGGGGCUAAUACCGGAUAGGAGCUCCUGCUGCAUGGUGGGGGUUGGAAAGUUUCGGCGGUUGGGGAUGGACUCGCGGCUUAUCAGCUUGUUGGUGGGGUAGUGGCUUACCAAGGCUUUGACGGGUAGCCGGCCUGAGAGGGUGACCGGCCACAUUGGGACUGAGAUACGGCCCAGACUCCUACGGGAGGCAGCAGUGGGGAAUAUUGCACAAUGGGCGGAAGCCUGAUGCAGCAACGCCGCGUGCGGGAUGACGGCCUUCGGGUUGUAAACCGCUUUCGCCUGUGACGAAGCGUGAGUGACGGUAAUGGGUAAAGAAGCACCGGCUAACUACGUGCCAGCAGCCGCGGUGAUACGUAGGGUGCGAGCGUUGUCCGGAUUUAUUGGGCGUAAAGGGCUCGUAGGUGGUUGAUCGCGUCGGAAGUGUAAUCUUGGGGCUUAACCCUGAGCGUGCUUUCGAUACGGGUUGACUUGAGGAAGGUAGGGGAGAAUGGAAUUCCUGGUGGAGCGGUGGAAUGCGCAGAUAUCAGGAGGAACACCAGUGGCGAAGGCGGUUCUCUGGGCCUUUCCUGACGCUGAGGAGCGAAAGCGUGGGGAGCGAACAGGCUUAGAUACCCUGGUAGUCCACGCUGUAAACGGUGGGUACUAGGUGUGGGGUCCAUUCCACGGGUUCCGUGCCGUAGCUAACGCUUUAAGUACCCCGCCUGGGGAGUACGGCCGCAAGGCUAAAACUCAAAGGAAUUGACGGGGCCCCGCACAAGCGGCGGAGCAUGCGGAUUAAUUCGAUGCAACGCGUAGAACCUUACCUGGGUUUGACAUGGAUCGGGAGUGCUCAGAGAUGGGUGUGCCUCUUUUGGGGUCGGUUCACAGGUGGUGCAUGGCUGUCGUCAGCUCGUGUCGUGAGAUGUUGGGUUAAGUCCCGCAACGAGCGCAACCCUUGUUCACUGUUGCCAGCACGUUAUGGUGGGGACUCAGUGGAGACCGCCGGGGUCAACUCGGAGGAAGGUGGGGAUGACGUCAAGUCAUCAUGCUCCUUAUGUCCAGGGCUUCACGCAUGCUACAAUGGCUGGUACAGAGAGUGGCGAGCCUGUGAGGGUGAGCGAAUCUCGGAAAGCCGGUCUCAGUUCGGAUUGGGGUCUGCAACUCGACCUCAUGAAGUCGGAGUCGCUAGUAAUCGCAGAUCAGCAACGCUGCGGUGAAUACGUUCCCGGG
Molecule: ribosomal RNA, 1343 nt
Filed under: uncultured bacterium
Lineage: Bacteria
Description: 16S ribosomal RNA
Rfam family: Bacterial small subunit ribosomal RNA
Source: RNAcentral